CAUAUUAUCAUAACGUAGCAUAUUAUCAUAACGUAGUGGAUUACAUGUCAGAGAUCAGAUGACACCCGAAGGUGACCAGAUGACACCCGUCGGUGACCACUGUGGGAUGAUCAAUCACCACAGGCUGAUGCCUCUCUCAUCAGCUAGGUAUACAGAAUACUGUGUGCACACAGGCUAACUAUUCUCCGUUAGCAUGGAGUUACUGACAAGUCCCAUAUCAAGGCAUAACAGAUAUUCACAUAAUCAUCAAAGAAGCGUAUAUCAUAUCAAAUAGAAUUUACUUUAACAGAUUGCGAGUGCAAAUUCAAGAAUAAAUGAGUACUCGGAAAAUAAAGCAACAUAUAUAAAUAUUCAAGAAAUUUACUAGUUGUACUCAUUGUAUAAUCAACAUAUAUAUUUAUUU
This 403-nucleotide long non-coding RNA is filed under the name Populus tremula. RNAcentral describes it as "long non-coding RNA (PTRE_LNC001293)". The record is from RNAcentral. Lineage: Eukaryota; Viridiplantae; Streptophyta; Magnoliopsida; Malpighiales; Salicaceae.